Molecule: long non-coding RNA, 552 nt
Organism: Aedes aegypti (yellow fever mosquito)
Lineage: Eukaryota; Metazoa; Arthropoda; Insecta; Diptera; Culicidae
Exons: 2
Source: RefSeq, a predicted model, not a curated record
UCUAACAAAAAUAGUCCGGUUGAAAACCCCGUGUAACACCAUCGUGACCUUCCCUUGUCAGUUUCAUCUCUUUUGAAUCUACAUCACAUUAUCUCGGCCCAAUAAUAUCUAUAGUUUAUUAAAAGUAUUAAAACACGAAAUCGCGUAUAUAAAAGUGACGACGAGGCGGAUUAUCAACUUACCAAUCGCGUGCAACAGUAACGGUUAAUCUGCGAUAUUAUUUUUCGGCUGUUUAAACCAUCCCAGCAGUAUGAGCCAUUUGAGAAUAAGCGCAAAGGAGCAGGCCGACAAGGUACGAAUGCGGCAAAGAUAUUGUGGUUCAUCUGAGGCCUUCCGUCACGUCCAAAUUAGUGAUCCUUUAUAUGAGAGAUUAGCGGAAGUAAAAUGGAAUGAUUUGGCAACAGACCGGCAGUGCUGAGUUUGCUCGGCGUCGAGAAUAAUAUUGUAACACGAACAUGACUUUCUAAUAGCUAAAAAGUGUAUUUUGUUUCGUUAUAGACCUUUGAGCUACAAUGCCAAACUAAUAAACGGCAGAAAAAAUCACUAACUAAA